This 460-nucleotide ribosomal RNA is filed under the name uncultured bacterium. RNAcentral describes it as "partial 16S ribosomal RNA". It matches the Rfam family "Bacterial small subunit ribosomal RNA", at positions 338 to 795 of the family's 1533-position model. The record is from RNAcentral.
CCUACGGGUGGCAGCAGUGAGGAAUAUUGGUCAAUGGGCGGGAGCCUGAACCAGCCAAGUCGCGUGAGGGAAGACGGUCCUAUGGAUUGUAAACCUCUUUAGGCGGGGAGCAAUGCCGGGCACGUGUGCCCGGAGGGAGAGUACCCGCAGAAUCAGCAUCGGCUAACUCCGUACCAGCAGCCGCGGUAAUACGGGGGAUGCGCGCUUUUUCGGGAUUUAUGGGGGUAAAGGGGGGCGUAGGCGGAUUGUUAAGCCAGCGGUAAACGGGCCGGGAUAAACCCGGGUCGGCCGUUGAAACUGGGGAUCUUGAGUGAGCGAGAAGUAUGCGGAAUGCGUGGUGUAGCGGUGAAAUGCAUAGAUAUCGCGCAGAACUCCGGUGGCGAAGGCAGCAUACCGGAGCCCGACUGACGCUGAGGCACGAAGGCGUGGGGAUCGAACAGGAUUAGAUACCCUAGUAGUC